Molecule: ribosomal RNA, 253 nt
Filed under: uncultured bacterium
Lineage: Bacteria
Description: partial 16S ribosomal RNA
Rfam family: Bacterial small subunit ribosomal RNA
Source: RNAcentral
UACGUAGGGGGCUAGCGUUGCUCGGAAUGACUGGGCGUAAAGGGCGCGUAGGCGGUUUGUACAGUCAGACGUGAAAUUCCUGGGCUCAACCUGGGGGCUGCGUUUGAUACGUAUGAGCUUGAGUUCAGAAGAGGGUCGUGGAAGUCCCAGUGUAGAGGUGAAAUUCGUAGAUAUUGGGAAGAACACCGGUGGCGAAGGCGGCGACCUGGCCCGAUACUGACGCUGAGGCGCGAAAGCGUGGGGAGCAAACAGG